RNAcentral lists this ribosomal RNA (427 nucleotides) under uncultured bacterium. RNAcentral describes it as "bacterial SSU rRNA". It matches the Rfam family "Bacterial small subunit ribosomal RNA", at positions 355 to 774 of the family's 1533-position model. The record is from RNAcentral.
UGGGGAAUUUUGGACAAUGGGCGCAAGCCUGAUCCAGCAAUGCCGCGUGCAGGAUGAAGGCCUUCGGGUUGUUAACUGCUUUUGUACGGAGCGAAAAGGUCUGGCCUAAUACGGUGGGCUCAUGACGGUACCGUAAGAAUAAGCACCGGCUAACUACGUGCCAGCAGCCGCGGUAAUACGUAGGGUGCAAGCGUUAAUCGGAAUUACUGGGCGUAAAGCGUGCGCAGGCGGUUAUGCAAGACAGAGGUGAAAUCCCCGGGCUUAACCUGGGGACUGCCUUUGUGACUGCAUAGCUAGAGUACGGUAGAGGGGGAUGGAAUUCCGCGUGUAGCAGUGAAAUGCGUAGAUAUGCGGAGGAACACCGAUGGCGAAGGCAAUCCCCUGGACCUGUACUGACGCUCAUGCACGAAAGCGUGGGGAGCAAACA